AUGCAAGACUAUUUCGCGAAGAAUCCAACGUAUCCAUCGCACCUCUUCCGGAGAAGGUACCGAAUGCGCCGAUCCCUCUUUGUGAGAAUUGUUGAAGCUUGCGAGGCAAAUUGUCGGUAUACUCAACGAAGAAAUGUUGCGUGCUUGAAGGGAUUUAGUGCAUAUCAAAAAAUCUCGGCAGCUAUGCGGGUAAUUGCAUAUGGCGUUCCGGCUGAUUAUGCCGAUGAGUAUCUUAUCGUUGGUGAAGAUACAACAAUUGAGUCAGUGCGUAGAUUUGCCAAAGUGAUCAUCCGUGUCUUUAGUCCCGAAUAUCUUUGGGCACCGAACGAGGAUGACACAAAGAAAUUGAUGGCAUCUAAUGAGAGGAGAUGUUGGCCUGGCAUGCUAUGUAGCAUUGAUUGUAUGCAUUGGACAUGGAAAAUUUGUCCGAAGGCAUGGCAGGAAAUGUAUUGUGGCAAGUCUCGUGAUGCAACAAUUGUGCUAGAGGCCGUAGCAUCCGAGGAUUUGUGGAUUUUGCAUUGCUUCUUUGGUAUGUCGGACACUCUCAGUGAUAUCAAUGUGUUGCAACGGUCUCAUUUGUUUGAUAGGCUUGCUAGUGGUGAUGCUCCUGCUUGCAACUACAAUCAAUGGGCAUGA
Molecule: ribosomal RNA, 636 nt
Filed under: Triticum aestivum (bread wheat)
Lineage: Eukaryota; Viridiplantae; Streptophyta; Magnoliopsida; Poales; Poaceae
Description: partial small subunit ribosomal RNA
Source: RNAcentral